RNAcentral lists this transfer RNA (63 nucleotides) under Neurospora sp. IMI 360204. Its description in RNAcentral is "tRNA-Ser". Lineage: Eukaryota; Fungi; Ascomycota; Sordariomycetes; Sordariales; Sordariaceae. The record is from RNAcentral.
GCCCCGUGGUGUAGUGGUAGCACACGCUUUAGGAGGUCCCAGGUUCGAUUCUGGGCAGUGGCA